UACGUAGGUGGCAAGCGUUGUUCGGAAUUAUUGGGCGUAAAGGGCGCGUAGGCGGUUUGUUAAGUCGGUCGUGAAAGCCCGGGGCUCAACCCCGGAGGGUCGACCGAUACUGGCAGACUAGAGUACAGAAGAGGUAACUGGAAUUCCCGGUGUAGCGGUGAAAUUCGUAGAUAUCAGGAGGAACACCAGUGGCGAAGGCGGCUUUCUGGACGGUAACUGACGCUGAGACGCGAAAGCGUGGGGAGCAAACAGG
RNAcentral lists this ribosomal RNA (253 nucleotides) under uncultured bacterium. RNAcentral describes it as "partial 16S ribosomal RNA". It matches the Rfam family "Bacterial small subunit ribosomal RNA", at positions 524 to 776 of the family's 1533-position model. The record is from RNAcentral.